Molecule: transfer RNA, 86 nt
Filed under: Candidatus Eiseniibacteriota bacterium
Lineage: Bacteria; Candidatus Eiseniibacteriota
Description: tRNA-Ser
Rfam family: tRNA
About the family: Transfer RNA (tRNA) molecules are approximately 80 nucleotides in length.
Source: RNAcentral
GGAGAGAUGUCCGAGUGGUCUAAGGAGCACGCCUGGAGAGCGUGUAGGCGCGUUGCGCCUCCUGGGUUCGAAUCCCAGUCUCUCCG